CAGCACCUCAAGUGGUCAGGAUGAUUAUUGGGCCUAAAGCAUCCGUAGCCGGCGCUGUAAGUUUUCGGUUAAAUCUGUACGCUCAACGUACAGGCUGCCGGGAAUACUGCAGCGCUAGGGAGUAGGAGAGGUAGACGGUACUCGGUAGGAAGGGGUAAAAUCCUUUGAUCUAUUGAUGACCACCUGUGGCGAAGGCGGUCUACCAGAACACGUCCGACGGUGAGGGAUGAAAGCUGGGGGAGCAAACCGGAUUAGAGACCCGAGUAGUCC
RNAcentral lists this ribosomal RNA (270 nucleotides) under uncultured archaeon. RNAcentral's name for it is "partial 16S ribosomal RNA". It matches the Rfam family "Archaeal small subunit ribosomal RNA", at positions 477 to 747 of the family's 1478-position model. The record is from RNAcentral.